GAUGAACGCUGGCGGCGUGCCUAACACAUGCAAGUCGAGCGGCAGCGAGGGGUGCUUGCACCCUGUCGGCGAGCGGCGGACGGCUGAGUAACGCGUGGGAACGUGCCCCAAAGUGAGGAAUAACUGCCCGAAAGGGUAGCUAAUACCGCAUAUUAUCUUCGGACCAAAGGAUUUAUCCGCUUUGGGAGCGGCUCGCGUCGGAUUAGGUAGUUGGUGAGGUAAUGGCUCACCAAGCCGACGAUCCGUAGCUGGUCUGAGAGGAUGACCAGCCAGACUGGAACUGAGACACGGUCCAGACUCCUACGGGAGGCAGCAGUGAGGAAUCUUCCACAAUGGGCGAAAGCCUGAUGGAGCAACGCCGCGUGCAGGACGAAGGCCUUCGGGUUGUAAACUGCUUUUAUAAGUGAGGAAUAUGACGGUAACUUAUGAAUAAGGAUCGGCUAACUACGUG
Molecule: ribosomal RNA, 451 nt
Filed under: uncultured bacterium
Lineage: Bacteria
Description: partial 16S ribosomal RNA
Rfam family: Bacterial small subunit ribosomal RNA
Source: RNAcentral